RNAcentral lists this ribosomal RNA (468 nucleotides) under uncultured bacterium. RNAcentral's name for it is "partial 16S ribosomal RNA". It matches the Rfam family "Bacterial small subunit ribosomal RNA", at positions 28 to 507 of the family's 1533-position model. The record is from RNAcentral.
GACGAACGCUGGCGGCGUGCUUAACACAUGCAAGUCGAACGGAAAGGCCCUGCUUUUGUGGGGUGCUCGAGUGGCGAACGGGUGAGUAACACGUGAGUAACCUGCCCUUGACUUUGGGAUAACUUCAGGAAACUGGGGCUAAUACCGGAUAGGAGCUCCUGCUGCAUGGUGGGGGUUGGAACGUUUCGGCGGUCGGGGAUGGACGCGCGGCUUAUCAGCUUGUUGGUGGGGUAGUGGCUUACCAAGGCUGUGACGGGUAGCCGGCAUGAGAGGGUGACCGGGCACAAUGGGACUGAGAUACGGCGCAGACUCCUACAGGAGACAGCAGUGGGGAGUAUUGCACAAUGGGCGGAAGCCUGAGACAACAACGCCGCGUGCGGGAUGACGGCCUUCGGGUUGUAAACCGCUUUCGCCUGUGACGAAGCGUGAGUGACGGUAAUGGGUGAAGAAGCACCGGCUAACUACGUG